Molecule: long non-coding RNA, 527 nt
Filed under: Numida meleagris (helmeted guineafowl)
Lineage: Eukaryota; Metazoa; Chordata; Aves; Galliformes; Numididae
Description: lncRNA (ENSNMEG00000005388.1)
Source: RNAcentral
CACAGCCAUUUGUGGGAUUUUACUGCACGCUAACAGAGCAUCCAGCUCCUGGCUAUCAAUGCGUAAGGCUCUAGGGACCAGGUAACACGUGCAAAAUAAACUGCUACGGCAUUGAAGCAGAGAUAUCAGUCAUUGCCACUUUCAGCUCUUGUUGCUAAGUGGUCCCAAAUGGCACCAUAGUUCUUGCAUGAAUCCACUGGAAGAGUCACUUCUGGGGAGGAAUGGCUCUGGGAACUGCACAGCUCCCAGCACACAUAGGUUGCGUUUGUUGGGAGCAAUGCAUUGUGAGAACACCAAUGUGAUGUCACCUCCUCCUUCAUCAGUUGUGAUGUUCCAGGCCCACCGCAGCCAUCGCGUGCAUCAGGGAGAUCUGUUCGUUGGCUUCAGCAUGGAUACAGGGAGAAGGAAAACACCAGGAGAGCUGUUAGAUAUGCCCAGCUCUUCAGACACCAUUACCAGGGACUUCGUGAGAGCCUCCUCACGCCCAGCAACCCAAGGCUGGAGUGGAGCUUGCUGUGUGGAUCAAU